AUUGAACGCUGGCGGCAGGCCUAACACAUGCAAGUCGAGCGCCCCGCAAGGGGAGCGGCAGACGGGAGAGUAACACGUGGGAACGUACCCUUUGGUUCGGAACAACCCAGGGAAACUUGGGCUAAUACCGGAUAAGCCCGUACGGGGAAAGAUUCAUCGCCGAAGGAUCGGCCCGCGUCUGAUUAGCUAGUUGGUGGGGUAACGGCCCACCAAGGCGACGUGUAGGGGGUCGGAGAGGAUUAUCCCCCCGAGGGGGACUGAGACACGGCCCACACACCUACGGGUGGCAGCAGUUGGGAAUCUUGCACAAUGGGGGAAACCCUGAUGCAGCGACGCCGCGUGGAGGACGAAGGAUCUAGGUCUGUAAACUCCUUUUUCACGGAAAGACUUAGGACGGUACCGUGAGAAUAAGCCCCGGCUAACUACGUGCCAGCCGCCGCAGUAA
RNAcentral lists this ribosomal RNA (445 nucleotides) under uncultured bacterium. RNAcentral's name for it is "partial 16S ribosomal RNA". It matches the Rfam family "Bacterial small subunit ribosomal RNA", at positions 29 to 523 of the family's 1533-position model. The record is from RNAcentral.